UGGAAGGGAAGAAAAGCAAUGUAGAGAAAAUGGAGAAGCUAUUUCAUAAGGCUAUUUGGGCCUGCAUUGUGUCCUUUCUAGUGUUGCUUGGAUCAUGGUCUCUUACGAUGGAUUUAAGGAGCACAUACUUCCAUACUCCUCUUCAAGGAAUUGCAGUGCAUAGGAGGGGAAUGGAGUUCUCGGCCGGUCGAGUAUCUGAAAUACCACCUCCCGCUCCAGCUGGUAAUAAGCUCGGCCGUCGCAAUCCCCCACCAGAGCCUCCACCUCCACCUGCCUCCCCAAUCAGCUAUUCCCCACCAGUGCCUCCACCUCCACCUGCCUUCCCCUCCAGCUAUCCCCCACCAAUGCCUCUUCCUCCACCUGCCUCACCCUCCAUCUACCCCCCCUAAUGCCUCUUCCUCCAGCUGCCUCGCCCUACAGCUAUCCCCCACCACCUGCCUCCCCCUCCAGCUAGUAAUCUGCACAACCCUAAUUCUCCACCAGUCAUGGUUCACUAGGCAUUUAUAUGAUGGUUGUAUCAUUCCAUGAGUUGAUGGGUUGAAUAAAUACGAAAGGACAAAGGCAUCACAUGCCAUUCCCC
Magnolia sinica is the source of this 580-nucleotide RNA transcript. RefSeq lists it as uncharacterized. The transcript has 3 exons. Lineage: Eukaryota; Viridiplantae; Streptophyta; Magnoliopsida; Magnoliales; Magnoliaceae. The record is from RefSeq and is a predicted model, not a curated record.